AUGACUAUCAAUAAGAGCCAGGGACAGACUCUCUCAGCUGUUGGAUUAUACCUGAAAAGCCCUGUUUUCACUCAUGGCCAGCUUUACGUGGCGGUUUCACAUGUGACUUCCAAGAAAAACUUGAAAAUACUUAUCGAGAACGAAGAUGGCACACUUGGAUCUCAGACUAGAAACAUAGUUUUCUCUGAGAUCUUUCAGUCUUUGGAAUAG
This 210-nucleotide ribosomal RNA is filed under the name Triticum aestivum (bread wheat). RNAcentral describes it as "partial small subunit ribosomal RNA". The record is from RNAcentral. Lineage: Eukaryota; Viridiplantae; Streptophyta; Magnoliopsida; Poales; Poaceae.